Long non-coding RNA from Manis pentadactyla (Chinese pangolin), 1503 nucleotides. RefSeq lists it as uncharacterized. Lineage: Eukaryota; Metazoa; Chordata; Mammalia; Pholidota; Manidae. The record is from RefSeq and is a predicted model, not a curated record. The transcript has 3 exons.
CGUCAUAGUCGGAUGCACGUCAUAGUCGGAGGCACGUCAUAGUCGGAGACAGCCACCAAUCCGCGGAAGCUAAGGUGUACGUUGGCAUGACGACGGGGUGGGGCCGAACCUAGGCGUUCGAGUGGGCGGCCCUUUGAAACCAGUGCUUCAGAGUGGACUCUAAGCGCGGUGUUGUACCUUGGAGGUCUCUUCCGUCUUUUCCUUCCCCGACUCCCUGCUAGACUUUCGUGGACAGAAAGCUCCGGGUAGCCGACUCCACAUCUCUGGCUACCGACAGAGCGUCCACAUCCCCGCCUAGCGACAGAGAGCGUAGAAAAGGACUGCGCCCAGCUGAACCACCGGCUCCUGCUUCGUUUCUGCUGAGCUAGACCCAGCGAGCCUAGAGAGUUGGGCUGAAUAACUAGUAUUUUCAUUUAAUUGGAUUUGAAGAAAGAACAAAUAUAUACGGGGGCAACCACGAUCUUUAUAAAGAACAUAAGUUCCAGGAAAACAGGAACCUUGUGUCUUGUUCACGUGUGUAUCCUCCGCAGAUAGAACAGUGCGUGGCACAUAAUAGGUGCUGAAAUAUAAAUUCUACAAAUGCAAGAAUCUUUGUAUUGCCCAGUGAUGUAAGCCAAGCAUCUGAGACAGAGCCUGGCACUAAUAGGUGCCCAUAACAAUUUUCAAAUGAGUGAAUGAAUGAAUGAGUUUUAACAGGAAAAAGUCACAUUUUUAUGUAAAAAGUUAUUGUCUUAAUCUCUUUUAUAUUUUAAAGGAAAAAAAUAACAUUCUGCUACUCUGAAAUUCAGAUUUGCAGUGAAGAUAUGCCAAGACACAGAAAGAUGAUUUCUCUUCAGGAAAGAAUCUCUAAAUGAAAAUCAUGUGAUUAUUAGGCUCUAUACAUACCAUCAAAAUUCUAAUUCAGUCAGCCCCACCCUGAAUCCAGUCACAACUCUUAUUUAAUCUACUUCCCUCCUCUUCUAAUUGAAUCACUUUCUCCAAUUCUAGUAAACCCUUUCAUUACAAAGUUACCAGCCCACAAAAUGUGACAAUUUUGCUUGAGGCUUUUAGUAAGAAAAUGGAAGAAAAAAACUCAAUGCUCACAAGUUAGAAAUUACACUUAAAGAAGUAUAAAUGAUAGCAUCUGUUCUAUUUUUAACCUAAAAAUGAUUAAUUUUCUAAUUUAAAAAGCUGGUGCUUUAAUCUAUUUUGAUAAGUGGAAAGGAUAGAAAAAGAAAGUAGCUUGCCUUCUCCCAACAAAUCCUGAUGUUAAUUGAAGAUACUUUGAGACCCAGAGAGAUGAUUUCCUGGAAACAGCCUCAAAAUGAAAUUUGCUGAUGGUCCAGGCUAGAUUACUAGAUAAUAUUAUAAUUUAACCACCUCUUACCCAAUCCAAGCACAUAGCUACCUAUCACUUGCUGGCCACACCAUUAUUACUAAGAUAAUUAAAAGCAAGCAUAUUAAAAAAACAGUUAAAAUGAAAGAACUAAAAUAUAGAAAAUAAACAGAUAGAAAAAGACAUAC